AUUGAACGCUGGCGGAAUGCUUUGCACAUGCAAGUCGAGCGGCAGCACGGGGGCAACCCUGGUGGCGAGCGGCGAACGGGUGAGUAAUACAUCGGAACAUGCCCAGUCGUGGGGGAUAACACUUCGAAAGAAGUGCUAAUACCGCAUACGUCCUGAGGGAGAAAGCGGGGGAUCGCAAGACCUCGCGCGAUUGGAGUGGCCGAUGUCAGAUUAGCUAGUUGGUGGGGUAAAGGCCUACCAAGGCAACGAUCUGUAGCUGGUCUGAGAGGAUGAUCAGCCACACUGGGACUGAGACACGGCCCAGACUCCUACGGGAGGCAGCAGUGGGGAAUUUUGGACAAUGGGGGCAACCCUGAUCCAGCCAUUCCGCGUGAGUGAAGAAGGCCUUCGGGUUGUAAAGCUCUUUCGGCAGGAACGAAACGGCGAGCUCUAACAUAGCUUGCUAAUGACGGUACCUGAAGAAGAAGCACCGGCUAACUACGUG
This 484-nucleotide ribosomal RNA is filed under the name uncultured bacterium. RNAcentral describes it as "partial 16S ribosomal RNA". It matches the Rfam family "Bacterial small subunit ribosomal RNA", at positions 30 to 507 of the family's 1533-position model. The record is from RNAcentral.